GGCCCCCAAGUGGACAUAUGGUCUUUGGGAAUCGUGGGCAUCGAAAUGGUGGAACGAGAAGUUCCUUCCUGGAAUGCAACUCCUGUCUUGAAAAUGUCAGAAUUACAGAUGUACGCACUAAAGUAUCCAAGAUUUCUGUGCAACAGAAAGGCUUUCUCACCUGCAGUUUUCAGUAGAAAAGCAACAAACCUUUGAAAGGCUAAACCUCAACGUAACUGUGACCUUCAAUCAACACUUCCUUCUUCCAAUUUCUUAAGAUCUCUUUGUCCUGGGCACUCAGUAUGGCCUUUUUCCUCAAAGUUCUUUAGCUGUCUUGAAUGCUUACAGCGUAAAAGGUAAUCCCUGAUCUAUUUUCAACUCCCUGCUCAGAUGCACACUGCUGGAAGGGAGCUAGGACUGGUACUGGAGACCUGGCAGCUUGUCCAGGAAGCAAAAUUUUUGAAAUAAUGAAAAUUUGGAGAAGCAUGCAAGUCCAGGUGGUGAACUCAAAUAUGCAAGUACUUGCAGUUUCCUGACAGCACUUUACAGUUCAAGGG
Molecule: long non-coding RNA, 536 nt
Organism: Melospiza melodia melodia
Lineage: Eukaryota; Metazoa; Chordata; Aves; Passeriformes; Passerellidae
Exons: 3
Source: RefSeq, a predicted model, not a curated record